RNAcentral lists this ribosomal RNA (845 nucleotides) under Phaffia rhodozyma. RNAcentral describes it as "LSU rRNA". It matches the Rfam family "Eukaryotic large subunit ribosomal RNA", at positions 1 to 798 of the family's 3401-position model. The record is from RNAcentral. Lineage: Eukaryota; Fungi; Basidiomycota; Tremellomycetes; Cystofilobasidiales; Mrakiaceae.
GGUCUUUGCGGACUGCAUGCGCACACUUCUGAUCGGGCCUCAAAUCAGGUAGGACUACCCGCUGAACUUAAGCAUAUCAAUAAGCGGAGGAAAAGAAACUAACAAGGAUUCCCCUAGUAACGGCGAGUGAAGCGGGAUGAGCUCAAAUUUGAAAUCUGGCAGCCUCCGGUUGUCCGAGUUGUAAACUAGAGAAGCGUUUUCCGUGCCGGCCUGUGUACAAGUCCCUUGGAAUAGGGCGUCAUAGAGGGUGAGAAUCCCGUCCUUGACACAGACCACCGGUGCUAUGUGAUACGCUCUCGACGAGUCGAGUUGUUUGGGAAUGCAGCUCAAAUUGGGUGGUAAAUUCCAUCUAAGGCUAAAUAUUGGCGAGAGACCGAUAGCGAACAAGUACCGUGAGGGAAAGAUGAAAAGCACUUUGGAAAGAGAGUUAAACAGUACGUGAAAUUGUUGAAAGGGAAACGAUUGAAGUCAGUCAUGCGUGCUCGGACUCAGCUGGGUUCGUCCCAGUCUAUUUCCGGGUGCCGCAGGUCAGCAUCAGUUUCGGGCGGUGGAAAACGGGCGGGGGAAGGUGGCAUCUCCGGAUGUGUUAUAGCCCCCGUUUGGAUGCAUCGCGUGGGACUGAGGAACGCAGCGCGCCUCUUUACGGGGUCGGUCUCCGGACACGAACGCGCUUAGGAUGCUGGCAUAAUGGCUUUAAACGACCCGUCUUGAAACACGGACCAAGGAGUCUAUCAUGUGUGCGAGUAUUUGGGUGGCAAACCCGAGUGCGGAAUGAAAGUAAAUGCUGUGGGAUCCGCAAGGAGCACCAUCGACCGAUCUGGAUCUUUGUGAUGGAUUUGAGUAAG